GUUAACGCCGUGCCCGCAGGAGCGGUGAUGGGGAGGGGGCUAGGGUGGUGCGUAAGUCCUGGGCGUACAGGGAACGUAGGCGGCUUUGUGAGUUAGGGGUGAAAGCCCAGGGCUCGACCCUGGAAUUGCCGUUAAGACUGCAUCGCCUGAAGAUCGGAGAGGUAAGUGGAAUUCCGAGUGUAGAGGUGAAAUUCGUAGAUAUUCGGAAGAACACCAGUGGCGAAGGCGACUUACUGGACGAUUGUUGACGCUGAGGUGCGAAAGCGUGGGGAGCAAACAGGAUUAGAUACCCGAGUAGUC
Molecule: ribosomal RNA, 300 nt
Filed under: uncultured Larkinella sp.
Lineage: Bacteria; Pseudomonadati; Bacteroidota; Cytophagia; Cytophagales; Spirosomataceae
Description: bacterial SSU rRNA
Rfam family: Bacterial small subunit ribosomal RNA
Source: RNAcentral